This 497-nucleotide ribosomal RNA is filed under the name uncultured bacterium. RNAcentral's name for it is "partial 16S ribosomal RNA". It matches the Rfam family "Bacterial small subunit ribosomal RNA", at positions 28 to 507 of the family's 1533-position model. The record is from RNAcentral.
GAUGAACGCUGGCGGCGUGCCUAAUACAUGCAAGUCGAGCGAACGGACGAGAAGCUUGCUUCUCUGAUGUUAGCGGCGGACGGGUGAGUAACACGUGGAUAACCUACCUAUAAGACUGGGAUAACUUCGGGAAACCGGAGCUAAUACCGGAUAAUAUUUUGAACCGCAUGGUUCAAAAGUGAAAGACGGUCUUGCUGUCACUUAUAGAUGGAUCCGCGCUGCAUUAGCUAGUUGGUAAGGUAACGGCUUACCAAGGCAACGAUGCAUAGCCGACCUGAUAGGGUGAUCGGCCACACUAGAACUGAGACGCGGUCCAGACUCCUACGGGAGGCAGCAGUAGGGAAUCUUCCGCAAUGGGCGAAAGCCUGACGGAGCAACGCCGCGUGAGUGAUGAAGGUCUUCGGAUCGUAAAACUCUGUUAUUAGGGAAGAACAUAUGUGUAAGUAACUGUGCACAUCUUGACGGUACCUAAUCAGAAAGCCACGGCUAACUACGUG